AUCCUGUUAAGUCAGGCAACGAGCGAGACCCACGCCCACAGUUGCCAGCGUACUCUCUGGAGUGACGGGUACACUGUGGGACCGCCGCUGCUAAAGCGGAGGAAGGAAUGGGCAACGGUAGGUCAGUAUGCCCCGAAUAUCCCGGGCUACACGCGAGCUACAAUGGUUGGUACAAUGGGUAUCUACCCCGAAAGGGGACGGGAAUCUCCUAAAACCAAUCUUAGUUCGGAUUGAGGGCUGCAACUCGCCCUCAUGAAGCUGGAAUCCGUAGUAAUCGCGUUUCAACAGAACGCGGUGAAUACGUCCCUGCUCCUU
RNAcentral lists this ribosomal RNA (315 nucleotides) under uncultured Methanosaeta sp. RNAcentral's name for it is "bacterial SSU rRNA". It matches the Rfam family "Archaeal small subunit ribosomal RNA", at positions 1023 to 1338 of the family's 1478-position model. The record is from RNAcentral. Lineage: Archaea; Methanobacteriati; Methanobacteriota; Methanomicrobia; Methanotrichales; Methanotrichaceae.